AUUAACCUUCAUAGUAUUAUUGGAUGGCAUCAUUGAUAAUUAAAACUGAGGUGGUAUAGGAUGGGCAUGCGUCUGAUUAGUUAGUUGGCGGGUAAUGGCCCACCAAGACGAUGAUCAGUAGGGGUUCUGAGAGGAAGAUCCCCCCACACUGGCACUGAGAUACGGGCCAGACUCCUACGGGAGGCAGCAGUAGGGAAUAUUGGUCAAUGGAUGCAAGUCUGAACCAGCCAUGCCGCGUGCAGGAAGAAGGCCUUCUGGGUUGUAAACUGCUUUUGCCAGGGGAUAAAAUUUCCAUGCGUGGAAAACUGAAGGUACCUGGUGAAUAAGCCACGGCUAACUACGUG
RNAcentral lists this ribosomal RNA (344 nucleotides) under uncultured bacterium. Its description in RNAcentral is "bacterial SSU rRNA". It matches the Rfam family "Bacterial small subunit ribosomal RNA", at positions 163 to 507 of the family's 1533-position model. The record is from RNAcentral.